GACGAACGCUGGCGGCGUGCUUAACACAUGCAAGUCGAACGGUGAAGGGACCGGUUUUUGCUGGUUCUGGAUGAGUGGCGAACGGGUGAGUAACACGUGAGUAACCUGCCCCCUUCUUCUGGAUAACCGCAUGAAAGUGUGGCUAAUACGGGAUAUUCUGCGCCUGCGGCGUGGUGGGUGUGGGAAAGAUAUUGUUUCGGUGGGGGAUGGGCUCGCGGCCUAUCAGCUGGUUGGUGGGGUGAUGGCCUACCAAGGCGGUGACGGGUAGCCGGCCUGAGAGGGUGGACGGCCAUACUGGGACUGAGACACGGCCCAGACUCCGACGGGAGGCAGCAGUGGGGAGUAGUGCACAAUGGGCGAAAGCCUGAUGCAGCGACGCCGCGUGAGGGAUGGAGGCCUUCGGGUUGUAAACCUCUUUCGCCAGUGAAGCAGGCCUGUCCCUUUUGUGGGUGGGUUGACGGUAGCUGGAGAAGAAGCGCCGGCUAACUACGUG
This 493-nucleotide ribosomal RNA is filed under the name uncultured bacterium. RNAcentral describes it as "partial 16S ribosomal RNA". It matches the Rfam family "Bacterial small subunit ribosomal RNA", at positions 28 to 507 of the family's 1533-position model. The record is from RNAcentral.